RNAcentral lists this ribosomal RNA (253 nucleotides) under uncultured bacterium. RNAcentral describes it as "partial 16S ribosomal RNA". It matches the Rfam family "Bacterial small subunit ribosomal RNA", at positions 524 to 776 of the family's 1533-position model. The record is from RNAcentral.
UACGUAGGGUCCGAGCGUUGUCCGGAAUUAUUGGGCGUAAAGGGCUCGUAGGCGGUUCGUCACGUCGGGAGUGAAAACUCGGAGCUUAACUCCGAGCCUGCUUCCGAUACGGGCAGACUAGAGGUAGGCAGGGGAGAGCGGAACUCCUGGUGUAGCGGUGGAAUGCGUAGAGAUCCGGAGGAACACCAGCGGCGAAGGCGGCAUCCUGGACUGGUCCUGACACUCAGGAGCGAAAGUGUGGGGAGCGAACAGG